UUAGUACUAAGCACGGAAAGUAGAUACCUGACCCAAAGCUUCUGGGUGGGAAGGUAUAAAUUCUUGUAGGGCAAGUUGAUCUAGCACUAAUUGGGUCGAUAAAUUAGCAUUUGGCAUAACAUGUCCACCCAAGAGGCUAUCAACAUUGGACAAAUCAAUUCUUUGUAAGACAAUAUGUUCGCGAUGUAUAUAAUCAUCAUCAUUCUCACUAGUGAUUGAUCUUCUUAUGUUAUUAUGGUAACCUUCAACUGCAUUGUCUCAUAUCAAUUACAAC
This 274-nucleotide long non-coding RNA is filed under the name Medicago truncatula (barrel medic). Its description in RNAcentral is "long non-coding RNA (MTRU_LNC005038)". Lineage: Eukaryota; Viridiplantae; Streptophyta; Magnoliopsida; Fabales; Fabaceae. The record is from RNAcentral.